RNAcentral lists this unclassified non-coding RNA (1044 nucleotides) under Ixodes scapularis (black-legged tick). RNAcentral describes it as "uncharacterized LOC121836299, transcript variant X4". The record is from RNAcentral. Lineage: Eukaryota; Metazoa; Arthropoda; Arachnida; Ixodida; Ixodidae.
UCUGUUCCGCCUUGGCGCCCUCGGCCGCGGGGGCAAUGUUUUUGUUUUCGUUCUACGUUCAGGUGUUGGGUGGCGACGUAUUAACCGUCGAUAACCAGCUGAAGCAGCUCAAGUUCUCGAGUGGAACGAGGUUGACCGUGCGCAGUGGCAGCCGUUGACAACAAAAACAAUGUAUGCACUCAGCUUCGCCGGAUGAGUGCCGGCGUCGAUCGCGAACCGCCAGAGCCGCCAAAUACCUCUCGUACAUCUCCAAGAACACCAAGAACAGGAGGUAUUCAUAAAGGUCUGAACCACGCGAGGAUCGUCUCGAAGCAUGGUAGCCUCAACAGACGCUUGCCGCCACACGCGAGGAGAAAGCAGGAGGCCCGAAGUUUGAAUGUGAAGAGGAGGUGCGAAGAGCUGGCCCUCACUUUUUCAAGGCAGCCGCAGAACACUACGAGCCCCGAAUCACUGCCGCGGCUGACUCACGCGGAUGCUGUGCUGCACCCUGCACUGCACAUGGUUCGAAGCACACUUCAGGGGACCAGUGCAUGCCCCUGAUGCAUCGUCGCGGUCCCGGGGAUCAUGGCAUCGAUGAGCUCGCUUUCGCCUUGUCCAAGGUAGCAGCGGAACACUACGGGCAGGCCCGGAGUCACCGCACCGGCUGGCUCACGGGCGUCGUCCUGUACUCUGCACGGCACUGCGUGUGGCUUAAUCGGCCAAGCAGAGGGUCACUGCAUGACCUUUAUGAGGCGUCGCUAGCCAUUGUUUCAAAUCGUCCUGAUUCAUGGGCCAAGCCUUUCAAGACUGCACUCUUAGGCCCAGUCCUUUUUGGUGGAUCGGAUCUUGCCAUCUUCCCCUCUCGUGGCUUCCUGUUGUACUUAAAUAAAUUGUCAUAUUUUUUUCUUAUGGUGGUGCAUACGUUUUGCCACACUUCACAAAAACAGUGUGGUGAAUCCAUGCCGCAGAUUACUGUGAAACGUGCAGGAAGGGUAAACUCCGAAAAGGUUUAUGGAAAGAAGAUAGACAUCCCCCAUUAAUUUUUUCUGGACACUCUAAGCGUGC